This 253-nucleotide ribosomal RNA is filed under the name uncultured bacterium. Its description in RNAcentral is "partial 16S ribosomal RNA". It matches the Rfam family "Bacterial small subunit ribosomal RNA", at positions 524 to 776 of the family's 1533-position model. The record is from RNAcentral.
UACGAAGGGGGCUAGCGUUGUUCGGAAUCACUGGGCGUAAAGCGUGCGCAGGCGGUUGUGCAAGACAGAUGUGAAAUCCCCGGGCUUAACCUGGGAACUGCAUUUGUGACUGCACGGCUAGAGUGUGUCAGAGGGGGGUAGAAUUCCACGUGUAGCAGUGAAAUGCGUAGAUAUGCGGAGGAACACCGAUGGCGAAGGCAAUCCCCUGGGCCUGCACUGACGCUCAUGCACGAAAGCGUGGGGAGCAAACAGG